GGGGAAUCUUCCGCAAUGGGCGCAAGCCUGACGGAGCAACGCCGCGUGAGUGAAGAAGGUUUUCGGAUCGUAAAGCCCUGUUGAGAGGGACGAGAGAUAUAAUCAGGAAAUGGGUUAUAGAGGACGGUACCUUUCGAGGAAGCCACGGCUAACUACGUGCCAGCAGCCGCGGUAAUACGUAGGUGGCGAGCGUUGUCCGGAAUUAUUGGGCGUAAAGGGAGCGCAGGUGGGAAAGUAAGUCAGUCUUAAAAGUUCGGGGCUCAACCCCGUGAUGGGAUUGAAACUACUUUUCUUGAGUGCAGGAGAGGAAAGCGGAAUUCCUAGUGUAGCGGUGAAAUGCGUAGAUAUUAGGAGGAACACCAGUGGCGAAGGCGGCUUUCUGGACUGUAACUGACACUGAGGCUCGAAAGCGUGGGGAGCGAACAGGAUUAGAUACCCUGGUAGU
This 445-nucleotide ribosomal RNA is filed under the name uncultured Anaerovibrio sp. Its description in RNAcentral is "bacterial SSU rRNA". It matches the Rfam family "Bacterial small subunit ribosomal RNA", at positions 356 to 794 of the family's 1533-position model. Lineage: Bacteria; Bacillati; Bacillota; Negativicutes; Selenomonadales; Selenomonadaceae. The record is from RNAcentral.